UACAGAGGUGGCGAGCGUUAUUCGGAAUUAUUGGGCGUAAAGGGCGCGUAGGCGGCUUGACAAGUCCCGGGUGAAAUCCCUCGGCUCAACCGAGGAACUGCCUUGGAAACUGUCUGGCUUGAGGCCGGGAGAGGGUAGUGGAAUUCCCAGUGUAGCGGUGAAAUGCGUAGAUACUGGGAGGAACACCGGUGGCGAAGGCGGCUACCUGGACCGGUUCUGACGCUGAGGCGCGAAAGCGUGGGUAG
RNAcentral lists this ribosomal RNA (245 nucleotides) under uncultured bacterium. RNAcentral describes it as "partial 16S ribosomal RNA". It matches the Rfam family "Bacterial small subunit ribosomal RNA", at positions 524 to 768 of the family's 1533-position model. The record is from RNAcentral.